GGCGCUGUGCCUGUCUAGUAAACAGGAGAUCCUGGGUUCAAAUCCCAGCAGUGCCU
RNAcentral lists this transfer RNA (56 nucleotides) under Danio rerio (zebrafish). It matches the Rfam family "tRNA", at positions 17 to 71 of the family's 71-position model. From Rfam's summary of the family: Transfer RNA (tRNA) molecules are approximately 80 nucleotides in length. The record is from Rfam by way of RNAcentral. Lineage: Eukaryota; Metazoa; Chordata; Actinopteri; Cypriniformes; Danionidae.